RNAcentral lists this long non-coding RNA (1005 nucleotides) under Mytilus galloprovincialis (Mediterranean mussel). Lineage: Eukaryota; Metazoa; Mollusca; Bivalvia; Mytilida; Mytilidae. The record is from RNAcentral.
GUUAAUUGUCACAAGCGAUGUAAAAAGAAUAUAGCUAACACAUGUGGUAUUAAUACACGAGAAAUGUCUGUACGUUUAAAGGACCUCGGCAUUAUAAGUGACAUUAAUUCUCGGAAAAAGGUUAGUGUUAUUUUAUUACUCAUGGAUAUUGGUUUCUUUUUUCAGUAUGUAAAAUUAAUGUUCACAAACGAUGUCAAAAGAAUGUAGCAAACAAUUGUGGUAUAAAUACACGAGAAAUGGCAGAGAUAUUGUCCGAGCUAGGCAUUACUACUGAUAAACAUGGCACUAAGAAAAAGGUUAGUUUGUGUGUUGUUCUAAAACACUUUUUGGUUCUUUUUCUCCAGUGUAUUUAAUGUCAUGUAAUUUCCAAUCUAUUCUGUCUUUUCCUAAUUACACUUCAGUCUUCUUUUUAUUUUCUUUACAUAUUUUUGUAAUCCUCACAUUUUAAUGUUUUUUUUUAUUUUUUUGGUAAUUGUACACUUGUUUUAUGUAUAUACAAUUAAUUUUAAUAUCGUGUGUUCAGUGAUGGAUAGCAAAUGUUGUAAAAGUAUCAAUUAUUUUCUUUUAUUUGUUUAUUUUGAAAAUGUUAAUUAAUGAAUAGAUACCUUGCUUUACUCUGAGCAAAGAAAUAUGAUAAGAAAAAAGAAAGGGGUUUUAUUUGGUUAAUGUAAAAGAGAUAGAAACACAACAUUUAUCUUUUUUGUAAGCUAAGGAUAAUGGUUACUUGCCUGUCCUUGGUCAAUUUCAGGUCAGAGUUUUACAAUUUCAUAAUUGACUGUUAAGUGGGAAAAAAACAAGUUUACAAAACAAGGCUUUAAAUAAGAUGAAUAUUUAUAUAGAACCAGGUUAUAUUAAAAACAGUAAAAGAACUCACCUCAAGUAUGGCAGUAAAGGUAAAUUCUAACUCAUAUUAUCUUUGCUAAAAAUAGCUUUCAGCUUUUCUUAAAAUAGCUAAAUUUACCAUGGAUUGAGAUCAACAAUUGUUUUGAAGCAACUGAAAUUGGC